CUGACUAUUGCACAAAAAAAAUGAUCUUUAGGGCAUUCGUUAAGCCAAUACAUGUUAUAAUUAGAUUAAUGUAAAAUUACUCUCUAACAUUUUAUUUUUCUUCUUCUUUCAAAGCAUCUACUGCAUCUUAUUUUUCUUCUUCUUUCAAAGCAUCUAUUGCAAUUUCAACCCUUAUAUAUCAUCCUCCAACUAGUAAUUUGGUCUUUAGCAGCAGACUCAACUUAUAAGGACGUGCACUUUUAGAUCGAUGGGACACCGGGAAAAAGCAGCAGAAAUAUGAAAAAGGAGAGUCGCUGGAGCUGAGGCUUGGAAGAAGGAUGUUUCGUUGCAAGCUCUGCGAUCGCGAGUUCCUCACAUCGCAGGCAUUGGGAGGCCACCAGAAUGCUCACAAAAGGGAGAGAAGUAUGUAUGCACACUGUGUGGCCGCCUCAUUCGCCCUUCAGGAGUCCGCGGGGAGGGAAGACCUUGAUUUGGAACUUAAACUCUGAAUUUUGUGAGACAUAUGUUGUAAUCUGCUUUGUUUUUAUGUUUUCUUUGUAUUGUAUUGCUAGCUAUUUGGUAUGUGAAUAAGUUGUUAAAGAUCUUGGCCAA
Salvia splendens (bonfire salvia) is the source of this 591-nucleotide long non-coding RNA. RefSeq lists it as uncharacterized. The record is from RefSeq and is a predicted model, not a curated record. The transcript has 2 exons. Lineage: Eukaryota; Viridiplantae; Streptophyta; Magnoliopsida; Lamiales; Lamiaceae.